UGGAUUUCAUAUUUUUCACG
This 20-nucleotide microRNA is filed under the name Physcomitrium patens. RNAcentral's name for it is "ppt-miR1046-5p". Lineage: Eukaryota; Viridiplantae; Streptophyta; Bryopsida; Funariales; Funariaceae. The record is from miRBase by way of RNAcentral.